UUUGGUUUGUUACGUGUGGUUGGCUGCGGCGUUUGCAACAACUUCCAUGCUUUCAGACCUCUUCAGUUGUGCGGCAAGGCUAGUAUCGCCUUGAGCAUAUUGCGGGUUUUCUGUGUUGGCUACCUAAUCAAUGGUAUCGGUUGGAUUGAUCAAAGUUUGAUUUCGUCUUCCGUCGCAUUCGCGGCGUGAGGUGAACCUCGAUGCGGUCUCUUUGAUCCACCUCGUUGAAGCAAAUGCUUUGACGUUGUGGCACAUUGAGCAUUGCUUGGUCUCUUGUAUACGGAACAUAUAGUGGGCAUGGAUCUAACGAUUCUCGUUUGCCCUCAUAUUAGCGUAACGCUUCUCUAACACGACUUGCGCCAUGUUUUAG
Molecule: unclassified non-coding RNA, 370 nt
Filed under: Artemisia blepharolepis
Lineage: Eukaryota; Viridiplantae; Streptophyta; Magnoliopsida; Asterales; Asteraceae
Description: contains 3' external transcribed spacer, ETS
Source: RNAcentral